UUUAUUUUUAGUAUCAUUUUAUUUUAUUUUUUUAUACGUUCCUAAUUUGAUCUAACAAAGUCUGCUAUGACAAAAGAAAAAUUAAUGUCAGAUGAGCCUUAUUUAAUGGAUACACAAAGUGACGGAGGUUUACAAAAAGUUAUCGACAGGGGGGAGAAGUGUUCUAUUGUAUUAGAUGCUGUGGGUGCAAAUGUAGCCACGGGUAUACGCACAGAUGCAUGCGGUAAGGUUAAACCCUUAAACGAUUCGGAAAAUAACAGUACAAACAAUAUUGAUAAAACAGUUGUAACAGAUGCGAACUGCAUUAGUAAAACUAGUACUAAUGGUGAAAUAAAAGUAGAAAUAAAUCAAAAUAGUUAUGACUUAUAUCCUAGCAAUUUGGAAAAUAAGAAUACAGACCAUUUAAUAAAAAGCAAACUAACACAGUUAGAAAAAAAUUCUUAUAAUCACAACAAAUCUUUUUAUCAUAAUGGUAUACAAGAUAAUAUAACUGUAACAGACAAUAAUAAUACAAACAAUAAUAAUAGUGGUAGUAGUGGUAGUAGUGGUGGUAGUUGUAGUAGUGGUAGUAAUGGUAGUAGUGGUGGUAGUGGCAUUAAUAGUGACAGUAGUACUAUUAUCCCUUUUUAUAAUUUAAAUAAUGAAGAACACAACAAUAAUCAUACCAUCUAUAAUAAUAACUUGCAUGAAAACAAAAGUAAAAAUGUUGGUAGACUAAGUGACACUAAUAUCACAAGUGCUACAACAGACGCUAUGAAAAAAACUCAUAUUAACAGUAACACAUGUGGUAAAAAACAAAAUGAUAUGUCAAUUAAUUACAACGAAUUUGAGAAUAAUAAUUUUGUAAUGAAUUCAAAAAAUAUACAAAAAAAAUAUACUCAUUUAAGUAAUACAAAUAAUUCUUUAACUAGUUUAGGUAACACAACAAACAUUACGAAUGUAAUAAUUAAGGAUUGUUAUGACCAAAGUUUAAAUUGUGAUAUGGGAAUGACAGUGCAGCAGUUGAUUGUACAGCAAGAAGUAGAAGAAAUGACAAAAAAUAACAUAGAAGAAAUGACAAAAAAUAACAUAGAAGAAAUGACAAAAAAUAACAUAGAAGAAAUGACAAAANNNNNNNNNNAUAACAUAGAAGAAAUGACAAAAAAUAACAUAGAAGAAAUGACAAAACAUAACAUAGAAGAAAUGACAAAACAUAACAUAGAAGAAAUGACAAAAAAUAACAUAGAAGAAAUGACAAAACAUAACAUAAAAGAAAUGACAAAAAAUAACAUCGAAGAAAUAACAAAAAAUAACAUAGAAGAAAUGACAAAACAUAACAUAAAAGAAAUGACAAAAAAUAACAUCGAAGAAAUGACAAAACAUAACAUAAAAGAAAUGACAAAAAAUGACAUCGAAGAAAUAACAAAAAAUAACAUAGAAGAAAUGACAAAACAUAACAUAGAAGAAAUGACAAAAAAUAACAUAAAAGAAAUGACAAAAAAUAACAUCGAAGAAAUGACAAAAAAUAACAUCGAAGAAAUGACAAAAAAUAACAUCGAAGAAAUGACAAAAAAUAACAUAGAAGAAACAACUUCAAAUGUGAAACAGUUAAACAAUACCUUAUCAAGUGUACGUAAAUUGAAAAACAAACUGUUUGGUAGCUUUAUGAAAUAUCGUACACAAGUCGAACAGAAUAAUAUUGAUGGUAGUAGUACUCCGAAAAGUGCUGACAGAGAAACAAAGGAAGGAAACGAUGAUUUUACGGGAAAUAUUUAUAAUGAUGAUGUUAGAAGUGUUAAUAGUAUUGCUAGUGGUGGUAGUAACAAUGGUGGUUGUAACAAAAAAAAUAAAAGAUCGUAUUCCAUUGUAGAGUGCGAAGAGAUAGAAGAAGAAAAAAAAUAUAUAAAAAAAAAAUGCUCAAAUAUGAACGAUGAAAAUAAUAAAAAUGAAAUAUUAGCUAUGAUAAGCAAUAGUAUUUAUGAUAGUAAUGAUAAUUUAGUAGAAGGUAUAAAUAAUGGUAUUGAUACUUUUAAAGAAGAGAGUGAUGUUUCUGGUGUUGCUACAAAUGGUAGUAAUAUUAGUAACAACCAAAAAAACAGUUCUAGUUUUAGUUCUAGUUCUAGUUCUAAUAAUUAUGAUAAAGAAUAUACCAAUAAAUAUUCUCAUGAUGAGAGUAGUAAUCACGAAAGCAAAAAUGAUAUACAUAAUGAUAAAUACCAUUUAAUUAAAGGAUGUGUUAAAGCCACUUAUUUAUCUGAUCAAUAUCCCAAUAAAACAACAACUGCUGUUAAUCAAAGAUCCACAAGAGGAAGUAGUAACGUAUGUUAUAAUAAAAAAAACAUUAUAAAAAAAUGUAGCAACUCUAGCGACGACACUUGUGAUACUAAACAGAAUUUUAAAAAAAAUAAAACCGAUGAAACUGAAGAAAGUAAUAUGUCAUCAUUCCCUAUAGAUAAUAAUAACAAACUGAAAGAAGAGGUAACUAUAAAUGAUGAUAAUAAACAAAAUAAUACAAACAUGACUGUUGUAAAUGAUUUAUAUACAAGAAGACCUCAACGAAAUGCUGCGAAAAAAUGUAUUACAUUAUGGUCAGCAGAAUUAAAAAAAAAAUCAGAAAAGAAUUAUAAUAUAAAUGAUAAAACAAAAGAGUUAAAUAAUGAAAAAAAAGAAGAAGCAUUAUUAAAACGUAGAAAGAAAUCAAAAAGAGAGUUAAAAACUAGUUACAUGCAUAUUUUAGAUGAAACAAAAGAUAUAGAAAACCCAAAAAGUAUUAGUGAUAACAAUUUGUAUAUAAAAAAUGAGAAAACUUAUAAUUAUGACAUACAAAGUGUUGAGCAAGUUGAAGGUUGUAGUGGGUCAUUUUCAAUAGGUACGAAUGUAAUUAAUAUUGGUUGCAACCUUAACAAUUGUAACACUGUCGACUUGAAUAGUAACAGUUCUGAUGUUAAUGUGACACCUGAUAAUAAUGAAUCAAAACAAAACGAUAUGAAGCAAAGUUUUGAAGAAGUAGUAGGAAAUGACAACAAAAAUAUUCCUAUUUUGUUUAAGGAAUCUAUGGACGAACGUGAGAUGUUUAAAUGUUUAGACGUGUUAAGACAUUUACCAAGUAAAAAAGGUGGGGCCCAAUAUAAAUUACAUAAAGCUAUACUAACAGAAGAAAUGGUAAGAAGAGCAAAAAAGUUUCCACUAGUUCAAGGCGUAUACUUUGAUAGAUAUCAACAAAGAUGGAGUGUUAACUGGAACGAAGAUGGUAAAAGAGUAGCAAAGUAUUUUCCCAUCAAAUUAUUUGGAUUUGAUUAUGCUCGUAGGCUAGCUAUAUAUUGCAAAAAUUAUCAGAAAAUACCUGAAGAGGCAUUAGCAUUUGAACAAGCAUACAGGUUAAAUCAACAACAUAAUAAAUAUAAAAAUGAGAUGAACGAAAAUAAAAAUUUAAAAAAAAAAAAAGGAACAAAUAAGAACUUAAAAAAAAAGAAAACGAACAUUAAAAAUAAUUUAACAAGAAAAGGUACUACUACUGAUGUUGCGGAUGAUACUAGUGCUGACACAGGUAGUGGUAGUGGUAAUGGUAGUGGUAAUGGUAGUGGUAAUGGUAGUGGUAAUGGUAGUGGUAAUGGUAGUGGUAAUGGUAGCGGUAAUGGUAGUGGUAAUGGUAAUGGCACUUGUGAUGAUGACAAUAUGGAUUAUGUUAGUACCGGCAGAACAAUGUCUAAUUAUAAAAAAAGAAGACAACAAACAGAAGGUACGAAUUUAUAUACUAUCAAUGAUACUAACACGAGCGACCAUAACAAAAACAAUUAUAACAAUUAUGAUAAUAGUGUUUAUAAUUAUAAUGUUGAUGUUAAUACGUUGGUUGAAAACACGUCAAAUGAAAACAGACAUUAUGUAGGUAAUAGAAAGCAACAUCAUGAUUGUAAUAGCAACAUAAGUAACACUAAUUUUUAUCAUAACCAUUAUAAAAGUAAUGAUGAUGGUAGUAGAUUCAUCACUGGAAGUAAAAGAAACGGAAGUAACAAAAGUGUACGUAGUAAUAACAGUCUUGAAAAUAUAAAAGGAAAUGACAUACACCGGGAAGGAGAUGAUACCGAUUCGACUGUAGUACAGUAUGAUCAUGAUGAUAAAAAUAAAAAUAAAAAUAUAUUUAUAGCUAAUAAAAUAAAUAGUAGUAGUAGUAGUAGUAGUAGUAGUAUGUUAAAAAAUUUGAAAAAAAGCAAUCCCCUUAAUAUGUACAAUGCAUACGAAAUAAAUUGUAAUACAUCAAAAGAAGAAAGAAAAUAUGACAAUGGUAAUGGCAAUGACAAUGGGUCGAAUAUAGUAAACGAUAAUUCACAUUUUAACAAUAAUAGUAUAUAUUAUUACAAUAACAUGAACGACGAGUAUGAAACUAACGACUCAAAAAACAAUUUUGCUAGUAUGAACAAACACAAUGCACAACUUGAUGAUAUGAGUUAUAAUAGUAGUAAUAUGUACAAUAAAAAUAAUAAUUCGGCUCAAGUUUGUUUGAAAAAAACGUUUAAAGAUAACCCUUCUAAUAAGGACAGAAACUUCGGAGGUGAAACACAUAACAAUACAAGUUAUAACAAUACAAGUGAGAAUGCAAAAAAAUCAUUAUCUUUUGUAGAUAACAACAUCAUACACAAUACAAAUAGCAUAAAAAACGAUACAUCCGAUUUAGGUUUAAAAAAAACAACAGAUAAUAAAAAUCAUACCAUGGAUAAUCAUAAUGCAGUAACAUUACCAUAUAUUGUAAAG
Molecule: long non-coding RNA, 4728 nt
Filed under: Piliocolobus tephrosceles (Ugandan red Colobus)
Lineage: Eukaryota; Metazoa; Chordata; Mammalia; Primates; Cercopithecidae
Description: lncRNA (ENSPTEG00000003997.1)
Source: RNAcentral